ACGAAACUAAAAAAAAACGUAUUAUUAUCUAUAAAAUUUAAUACAUAAUAAUUGAUUAAUAAACCGGUUAAUUAUGAAGAUGUUUUUUUAAGCAGUGUACAUUGGCAGAGGUUGCCAUACAAAAUGUUGGUGCACUACCAUUCCACUUAUCAGAGCGUGAUUAUCUGACCCGAUUCAAGCCAAUCAAAAGAAAAUUAUAGGGAAGAAAAUAAAGGACGCAUUGAGGAUUGCAAGCAUAUAUGUUAAAGGAGCCUACCAUUCAUUCCUUAAUAAAAUAUUCAAUAUAUAAAUAGAAUCUGAAACUUCAAAUUCUUAGUUGAAAAAUUAGUUUUUGUUCAAAAAGUCAGUAUAUAAAAAGAAAACAUUUUGAUGCUAAUUAAAAGGGAAUUAAAAGUGAUCUCUGAAGUACAAACACAUUAUAUUCUUAUACGUACCUAGUAUAAUAAUCAUUACUAUCUACCUACCUUAAAUAAAUAAUGACAAAUUAAUGAAGGAUGGCAAUUUAUUGAAACAUUUCAUACAAGUAAUUGUUCUUAUUCAUAGGUGUAACUAGAGCUUACAUUUGGGGGGGGGGGUAUAAUAUCCAAUAUCACACUGACCCGCAGCUACCUACAAUCCCACACAUCCAUCUACUAAUUAACAUUCAAGCAACAAUUGUUACUAUUCACUAUUAUAAGUUCAGUUCUCAAUUUGAAACAUAAGAUUCUAAAACUUGUUAUUUUUAAUCUGGAAGAGCUAAUAAAAUAUUUAGAGAGGUUAAGCUCCAAUAAUCACACCUCGUUAGUUGAACCUAUGUUCCAAUCUUUUAUUAUUUUUAAGUUAACGCUAAUCUAUUUAAUUUGAAGAUUUAAAUGUAUUUAA
This 861-nucleotide unclassified non-coding RNA is filed under the name Sipha flava (yellow sugarcane aphid). RNAcentral's name for it is "uncharacterized LOC112685355, transcript variant X5". The record is from RNAcentral. Lineage: Eukaryota; Metazoa; Arthropoda; Insecta; Hemiptera; Aphididae.